UAUACUGGCAAGUCGAGCGAACUGAUUAGAAGCUUGCUUCUAUGACGUUAGCGGCGGACGGGUGAGUAACACGUGGGCAACCUGCCUGUAAGACUGGGAUAACUUCGGGAAACCGAAGCUAAUACCGGAUAGGAUCUUCUCCUUCAUGGGAGAUGAUUGAAAGAUGGUUUCGGCUAUCACUUACAGAUGGGCCCGCGGUGCAUUAGCUAGUUGGUGAGGUAACGGCUCACCAAGGCAACGAUGCAUAGCCGACCUGAGAGGGUGAUCGGCCACACUGGGACUGAGACACGGCCCAGACUCCUACGGGAGGCAGCAGUAGGGAAUCUUCCGCAAUGGACGAAAGUCUGACGGAGCAACGCCGCGUGAGUGAUGAAGGCUUUCGGGUCGUAAAACUCUGUUGUUAGGGAAGAACAAGUACAAAAGUAACUGCUUGUACCUUGACGGUACCUAACCAGAAAGCCACGGCUAACUACGUGCCAGCAGCCGCGGUAAUACGUAGGUGGCAAGCGUUAUCCGGAAUUAUUGGGCGUAAAGCGCGCGCAGGCGGUUUCUUAAGUCUGAUGUGAAAGCCCACGGCUCAACCGUGGAGGGUCAUUGGAAACUGGGGAACUUGAUUGCAGAAAAGAAAAGCGGAAUUCCACGUGUAGCGCUGAAAUGCGUAAAGAUGUGUAGGAACACCACUGCCGAAAACGGCUUUUUGAUCUGUAGCUGACGCUGACGCGCUAAAGCGUGGGGAGCACACGGCAUUAUAUACCCUGCUGGUCCACGCCGUACACGAUGAGUGC
This 785-nucleotide ribosomal RNA is filed under the name Priestia megaterium. Its description in RNAcentral is "bacterial SSU rRNA". It matches the Rfam family "Bacterial small subunit ribosomal RNA", at positions 50 to 816 of the family's 1533-position model. The record is from RNAcentral. Lineage: Bacteria; Bacillati; Bacillota; Bacilli; Caryophanales; Bacillaceae.